Molecule: ribosomal RNA, 253 nt
Filed under: uncultured bacterium
Lineage: Bacteria
Description: partial 16S ribosomal RNA
Rfam family: Bacterial small subunit ribosomal RNA
Source: RNAcentral
UACGUAGGGGGCAAGCGUUAUCCGGAUUUACUGGGUGUAAAGGGAGCGUAGGCGGUGCAGCAAGUCAGAAGUGAAAGCCCGGGGCUCAACUCCGGGACUGCUUCUGAAACUGUUGAACUAGAUUGCAGGAGAGGUAAGUGGAAUUCCUAGUGUAGCGGUGAAAUGCGUAGAUAUUAGGAGGAACACCAGUGGCGAAGGCGGCUUACUGGACUGUAAAUGACGCUGAGGCUCGAAAGCGUGGGGAGCAAACAGG